Molecule: ribosomal RNA, 468 nt
Filed under: uncultured bacterium
Lineage: Bacteria
Description: partial 16S ribosomal RNA
Rfam family: Bacterial small subunit ribosomal RNA (bases 63-468)
Source: RNAcentral
GGGGGGGGGGGGGGGGGUGGUUGGGGGGUGGGGGGGGGGGGGGGGGGGCCGGGUGUGGGGGGGUGGUGGGGGGGGGAACGGGUGAGUGGCGGGGGAGUGACCGGCCCUUGACUGUGGGAUAACGUCAGGAAGGUGGGGCGAAUGCCGGCUAGGAGCUCCUGCUGCAUGGUGGGGGUUGGAAAGUUUCGGCGGUGGGGGAUGGACUCGCGGCUUAUGAACGUUGUGGUGGGGUAGUGGCUUACCAAGGCUUUGACGGGUCGCCGGCCGUGGAGGGUGACCGGCCACAUUGGGACUGAGAUACGGCCGAGACUCCUACGGGAGGCAGCAGUGGGGAAUAUUGCACAAUGGGCGGAAGCCUGAUGCAGCAACGCCGCGUGCGGGAUGACGGCCUUCGGGUUGUAAACCGCUUUCGCCUGUGACGAAGCGUGAGUGACGGUAAUGGGUAAAGAAGCACCGGCUAACUACGGG